UGGCCCUUGGUAUUCAGUGGGGCAUGCCUGUUUGAGUGUCAUGAAUACUUCAACCCUCCUCUUUCGUUAAUGAAAGAAGAGGUGUUUGGUUUCUGAGCGCUGCUGGCCUUUACGGUCUAGCUCGUUCGUAAUGCAUUAGCAUCCGCAAUCGAACUUCGGAUUGACUUGGCGUAAUAGACUAUUCCCUGAGGAAUUCUAGUCUUCGGACUAGAGCCGGGUUGGGUUAAAGGAAGCUUCUAAUCAGAAUGUCUACAUUUUAAGAUUAGAUCUCAAAUCAGGUAGGACUACCCGCUGAACUUAAGCAUAUCAAUAAGCGGAGGAAGA
This 324-nucleotide ribosomal RNA is filed under the name Rhodotorula mucilaginosa. RNAcentral's name for it is "eukaryotic LSU rRNA". The stretch from base 265 to 324 matches the Rfam family "Eukaryotic large subunit ribosomal RNA", at positions 1 to 60 of the family's 3401-position model. The record is from RNAcentral. Lineage: Eukaryota; Fungi; Basidiomycota; Microbotryomycetes; Sporidiobolales; Sporidiobolaceae.